GAGGCGCAGCGGGGUCUGGGGGGGCCGCUGGCGGCCCCCACCCACGAGGCUGCCCCGCGCCAGCUUCUGCAGCUCGACGGGCACCACGGCGCUGGGGCAGUGCUUCUCGAUGUAGUCCUGGAAUCCCUGCACUCCCAUGCCUGGUGCAUCUUGCUGUGGACCUGCUGCUCCAGAACUCCCCCAUUCUUGCUGCUGUAGAAGAGCUCCCAGCCUUCACCUCACUGCCAGGUCUGCAAGUGGCUGUAGGCUCACCUUGUGGGCAGCAAGCACGUGCCUCAUCUGCCAACCUGCUCCUACAAACCCCACAGCUUGCACAGAGCAGCCGAGCUGAGCUGAUGCCAGGAAAGUGAAGGUUCCCACAUCAGGAUGAUGGAAAAAGCAUGCAGAUAAAGCAUCAUUUGCCCAAGCAUGUCAUCAGAAACUGAGUUCCUAAAGCUCUUUUUCAUUAGGAGAUUUUCAAGGCCUGGUUAACCUGUGCCUGGUAUACUGAAGACAGCAAGCAUCUCACUGAAGAUUUCAGGGAGAGCAAGAGCAGACCCUGGGAGUGAAGAAACAUCAUUUGCAUUCACUUUGGUGGAUGGCUGUGUUCUAGGAGAACCUACAAACACUUCUUCAUGCUCCAGGGUACACUGAGGAGGGAGUAAAAUGAGUGAAAGAAAACAAGUGUGCCUCAGCUGUACCAGGACACGAUAAACACUGAAGCCUUUGGGCAUCUGAGAAAUAGACAUGUGAUGCAAGUGUAUAUAUACAAUGAAUGGACGUGGGACAAAUGUUUGAAGACCUAUUGCAACAAGUUGCUCACAAAUGAUCUACAGCAAUUGUUACUUCCAGAAUGGUUACUGAACAUGUGUUUGGAAAAAAGAUAUUUAAGCAAAUCAAUCUGCUUGUGGACAAAUAAUAAAAAGAGAAAAAGGAAAAAUUCCUCUAACAAAUAUGAAACUGCAAAUUAUUCACUCAGUUCAGUUGGCAACAACCAAUUUUUGUGGUAGUAGGAGCUCAUAGAGUAGGAGGUAACUGUGUGAAGAAUGAUUGGUUUGGUAUCUUAUAUUGCAAUUCUGGAAGGGCUUAAAUUUCUAAUUUAAAAGCUAUCUUCCUUCUUUUACCCAGUAAAGGAAACAAAAUGAUAGUUGAUUUCUGUGAGCUUUUUUGGGCAGAUAGGAUCUAUUUUAUGUCCUCUAGACACUGACAACAGCUAACAGCUAGCUCAUAAGAAAGAGCAGUUAUUUAUUAGAAAAGAUCUCUCUUGCCAGGAAAAAACCCCAAAGCCUGCCUAAGGAAGGAUAUUGCCAUCACAAUCCUCUUUGCAUCUUCCCAGGAAAGACGUAAUGGGUCUGAACUUGGUGCAUCUUUGAGUUAUGGAGCCUUGUGUAAGCUGCACUUCCACAGCCCGUUUUUCAGUACAAGCACUGAUUUACUUCCCUCUUGGAAGAAUAUAAAGCUCAUCUGGGACAUCUCUGAGCUAAGAGCACCUUUUGCUUCUCCUUCCCCAUUCCUGGGAUGAAGCCAGCCACCUUUUGGUGAGAGGCUCUGGGAUGCUGCAGUGGGAUGCCAGCAGAAUUGUCUUCUUCUCCAAAGUGACUAUAGCUUGCUCUGUUUAUACCUGUGGAGUGGUGGAUGAGAGUUUAGCAUUCAACUCUUCUCAACUCCUUACGCGCAUAUUCUUGAUUGAAUAUGUAACUCCUAAUUUAUUCACGAGCAGGCACAUGCUCUCUUCCAAGGCAUGGCAGAUGCGAGGGAGCACGCUGCAUCCCUACUGCUUUACUUCACAAAAACCUAAAAAUGCUAAAGCCAUAAAUAGGCAUUAUACCACAAUCUUUGGCUGAACGAUCUCCAAUGUUACUGCAGAUCUUAGUCAUAGUGAAAGCUUUUACAAGCUACUUUGAGCUAAUGGCAAAAUAGUUUUCCUUUAAAGCAGUGAUGUGUUCCUUUCCACAAAUGCUAAUUGCUAUGAUUAUAUUGUAAGUUCUGGGCUUCGUUACACUGAGCUUUAGUUAGCUUGUUAUAACUUUACCCUAACCAUUGACCAGAGAUUAAUUUUACCCUUUCUGUGGUUUUAGAGAGAAAGAUACAGGGACUGAGACUCUUUCAUGUCACCAAAGUCAGCAAUGGUAAAAAGGUGCAUUUCUGCAAGAAUGUUCUAGGCAACCUCCUCAGCAACAGAAGGAUGUGCUGCAGAAGCUGAUGUUCAGGAGCUAUUUCACCAGCCCACUAGGAUACAAGAUGAGGAUAUCUGCAUCCAGCUGAGCUAUGCCAAAACUACCUUGUCUUCCUGCCUCUUAUACCUUUCUUUUCAUGCUGCAAAUUCAUGUUAGUUUCAAGACUGCUUGAAAUGUCUGUGGCUGGCAAUGCCAGCCCAUGACUGGUGAACAUCCUACCCACUGCUGGUGCUUUAGGAGUCCUUUUGGCAGGACCUGCCUCCUUGGGACAGGAGCUGGAGCAUACAGUAGCUCAUCACCUCAUUGUCAGAGCACAGCUGAUAUGUUGGUGGACUAACUUCAACAAUUUCACUGCAAGAGAGCUUUAAUUCUGACUAUUGCAAGAAUAUAGACAAAUUUCUCAGUCUGCUUCAGUCUAUGAAUUGCAGAUACAUAUAUAGGUUGUUUGAUCCUGGAUAAAAACCCAUCACUGCCCUCUCUCUUUACCUUCCCCAUUCCCUGCAAUUUGGGAAUGUUUGCCUAGAAAGGGUAAGAAAACAUUCAGCUGCUGCAGAUCCUCCUAAACACACCAGCUUUUUUUUGUUUGUUUGUUUGUUUAAUUUGCUACAUAUGACUAAUUCCACUGAGUUUCUGCCAGGGAGAAUUUGCAACUCAAAGUACCCCAUGAGUGUGCUACAACACUGCCAAGAAUUGAAUACCACCAGUCUUCAUAAUUGCUGUUUUUCCAAAGAUCAGGUAUAGCAGAGGCUAUUUUGGGCUAUAAAUGGAAAUCAGAAAAUGGGAUUUUCUUUCCCUAUUAGUUCCUCUCCUGGGAAUUUUCGUCUUUUUCUCUGUGCACAUGCUUUGGUUGUUGGUAUAUUGGUAAUGUGGGUCUCUCAGAGCAUCCGUCACUGGAGCCUGUUCUGAAGCACUGCAAUGCCAGUGAACAUGGGAAAUCAUUCCCACUAGUACCAAUGUGCAGAUUGUUGAUAUAAUAUCAUGUAUUAGACCAAAACCAGAUCAGAAUAGCCUGAUUUACCCCAUGAUUCUGGUGACAGGUGAUUCAAAAGUAAGGUUUACAAAAUAAGUAAAGGUAUUUCCCAGCUACCUGUACUUCCUUUCCUAAUAGUGGCAAUCCAUUUGCAACUCUCAGUUUUGCAGAUUGCCUGUUACCUCCUGUGGAUGAUCAAAGUCCAAUCAUGAAUGCAGGCACUCUGGACUUGCAGUCCUGUCUAUAUCAGGGAUGUCUGGCCUUGCCUUCAGUUUACAGCACAGACAUUGCCAUCUUAAUCAUCCAUAUCAUAUAGAUCUAAUGCAAGAUCUUUGCAUGGCCUUUAAAUCUGAGAAGUUCCAAUUAUCAUUCUUUUAUCAUCAAUUCUUCUGUCAUCAUUUCUAUCAUUCUUCAUGAAUUACGCAUUUUUCUUUUUUUCUGGAAAAAGCUUUGCAUUAUUAGGAGUUCAAGAGAUUAGGUUUUGCUACAGCAACAUGCAGAUCUCAGAACUUGAGAACAAACCCUUAGCAUCAUAUGCACUUUUCUGUUGCCCCUAAUGGUAAUGAGAAGCGUUUUCUGGGCUAGAAAAUACCCUCGUUAGUUCAUGACAGGGUAAUUCUAGGCCUGUAUGCCCUUGUUUGAUUAAAUGGUGUCCUUUGAUAGGGUCAAAAAAUAAUUACCCUUUGAUAUUUUAGUCAAAUGUAGUACUACUGAGAGGCACUCUUUUCCUGGCUAUAGAAAUAAAGAACCCAUUUAACCUUGGAAAAACAUGAUUCAUGCUAUUUUCUUCAUAUAAGGAAAAGGAGUGGGCUUUUUUUUGGUACAAACCUAUUCAGUGAGAGAUAUCUUAGUGUCCUGGGGUGACUUUAUGAUGCUUGUAUCUGCAUUUGUCGGUUUAGCCCAGAAAUAAGUUUUGCACCUUUAGGUCUGGUUCCAAGAGUGAAGGGGGGACAAGAAGAAUCGUGGAGUUUGUUAUCAGAAACUGCUCUUGCACCUCUGCAUCCUUCUCCUGCACUGUGUUGUCUGCGGCAAGGACAGACAGCAGGAUAGAGCUCUACUUUGAUUUUUAGUUAGUUUUAGCUAGCUAAGGCAGAGAAUUUCUCUGGACUGUGGUUUUUCUUUUUUUGUGGAACUGUUUAGACCUCCUCUGGACUGAAAACCCAGAAGAGCACCAGCAGCUCACUGCUGUGGCCCACUGGGCUGGGCCAGGUUUGCAGCAUUUCCAGUGCCAGAGGGACUGAGAAGAGAAUGAGUUAGCAGAGCUAUAGCCCACGAAGGUGACUGUCUGAGCAUGUCAUCUCUUCUAAGUGGCAAGAGGUUUUAUUGUUUGAUAUUGUUCAUUUCUUUGUGCUGGUGAAUAUUUUGCCUGUUAAAUAAAAAAAAAAAUUUCCCACUUUCCUCCAAAGAAAUCUUUUGCUGAACCAGUUAAAGGAAGGGCUGCUUAAAUCUGCUUUCUAGAGGAGCCCCUUUGGAGGUUUUCUCACAAAUUUGCCCUAAACCAAGACACUUAGUCAACAGGGGUCAGCUCUGGCACUGAGAGAAGAUGAAAAAAUUUGAGACAAUAUGUGAAAAAACCCCGGAUGGCUUUAACUAAAUUAAUAGAAAAUGUAUUUUGUCUUUUAUCCAGCCAUCACAUGAUAAUCCUGACAUCCCAAACUUUUGUCACAGUCAUAUGCUCUCAUUUUCGUAGUCUUCCACUUUGCUUUGUCAUUUACAGCAUUCAUGUGCUUGACUUCAAGCAACCUGAUGCUGUUCACUAGUUACUUGAUUUGAUAUUAAAAUGUUGUUAAAAUUGAAAAAAAAUUUAGAAAUUUGGAGAAGUGUGACUCAGUAAAAAUUCUGAGAGCACAGUGAAAGAUGUAAAGUGACUGAACUCUUGGAUUUACUUUGAAGAGGUCCUGUCCCCCCCUGUCUCUCCUUGCCCACCACCAACUGCAGCCACCCUUGUUGAUGCUGCUUCCUCUGCACCUUUCAUUUGGAGGCUCCUUUUUUUUUACAUGAUUUAUGGAGAUAUCUUCAUCCUCAGCUCUCUCUAGUCCUCCUUCAGAAACAGCUGGAGACCCAGCAAUUACCUGUGCCUCCUUGCUCUAUCACCCAGCUCAAAGCCUUUAGACUAUUGAUGUUAACAGCUGACCCCCAUUCUUUAAUUCCACAGUUUUCUCUGUAAAGCCCCUUGUCCCAGCACUUCUUUCUCCUUGAGCCAUUGUGGUUCCUCAAAAUUAGAGGUGCCAUGGUUUAGCUGAGGUGUUAGGGAAUGGGUUGGACUCAAUGGUCUUGAAGGUCUCUUCCAACCUUGUGAUUCUGUAAAAAAAGAAAACAACCAAGCAAACAAACCAAAAAUAAAACAAAAACAACAACAGCAACAACAAAAACAAACAAAAAAAACCCCAAACAAACAAAAAAACCCCAAAAAACCCCAGUGAACAGAUGACAGCUGUGAGGACACACAGCUCUCAGCCAGCAGCAUCCUGACCUACAGCAGUGUCUGUGUUCAGUAACCACUGAAGCUGCAAAGUUAUGCCUAACAGCUGGCAGCUACAGGUCCAUUCCUGUAUUUGCAGCAUCCACCAGGUGCUUGAUUCCAUUGAUGAUCCUCUAGGCUAUCAGGGAGAGUUUGUAUUAGGAUAUGCAUCAGAAAAGCAGCUUUUCUCAGAAUAGGAAUCAAGAUCAGGAGGCAGAAACCCUCACUUCAUAAACAGGGCUUAAAUCUGAACAAGAAGUGUGGGCUAAUCUAUCUGCCAGUCCUCUCCUGCUAGAGCUAUGCUGCUUGAACAAGGAAUACUCUGGUUUUGUUAUUCAUGUUUUCUUAUAUUGCCCCAUGCCUACAUGUCCCAUAUGCUGUGUAGGCACAAAAGAGCCGGUCACCCUUGUGCAGAACAUCUGCAAUACUAAAUCAUGAUCCUUAUGUCCUGCUUUCUCAGCCUUCAACCAGAGGUUAUUUUUCAUCAGCAGUCUAAAAGGGCUCAGAAGAAAUCUCUUUUUGGUUUAAAUAAUUAACUACUUUGACCUGGAUAUUCUGAGAGGCCCCACUAAUCUCAGCCUUCACAGCAGUUUCUAAAAUAAAGUAAAAGCAAUAGAAUAAUAUGAAAUAACAUGACAAUAAUGAAAUGAAAUAAAGUAAAUUAGUCUAAGUCACCAUUAGUUUUAUGAUCGAGCUCUUCUGCUGCAUGCACAGCUCCGCUUGGGAUCAGACCUGUGCUUCUCCAUCCUGUUUGGUUUGUGCCCGAGGCAAUGUCAAGACAACAGUUUAUUUCAGAUGAAAAUUUGAUGCCAUGCUAUUCUGGGACUGAGUAAAAUUUGUUCUCCAUAAUUACUUUACAAUCAGUGAAGAGCUCUUUCUAAGAGCAGCUUGAUGCUUUACACAUAUGCUUUAAAUAUUCUGGGCUUGUACUGCGUAACAGCCAGAAAGGACAAUGGCCUGGAGAGUGCAGGGUGUUCACUUGAGAGGCCAUCAUCUUCUCAAAAGUGCUAUGGCUGUGACAGAACGGGCAGAAAUAGACCAUUUAACCAGUCCUGAGACUGCUAACAGGGGGUGAAAGAAGUCCAUAGAAGAACUGGAAAGUUUACGAUGUGUGAUAACACAUCGCUCUCUAGUUCUACGUGGAAUUUUAUUCAAAAAUAUAUGUACUUUAAUAAAUGAAAUAUCAGCCUGUGAUUUUAUUUCUCUGUUGCAGAAAGAAGGUGAAUAUACCAUUUAUUGGGAUCGUCUGGGUGUGCAGGCACUGCCUACAGUGUGUUUAACCGUGCCUCGGCAGGGCCAACACGGGCGGGCCCAGGCAGGGAGCGGGACAGGGAGGGCACAGCUGCCACCCCCUGCACUGUCACCAGACACUGAGUAGUGUCCCUUGGUGUCACCUGGCACUGAGCACGUGUCCCAGCACCUCCCUCAGCCACAGGUUAGACAGUCAGCUGUUAGACACCCCUGCUCUCCACCUAGCACUGGGUGCGAGAUGAUUGCACAGAUCCUGAGGUAGAGGAAGGGACAGCGGGGUGACACAGCCGAAGUCCCAACAUCUGCCUGCAGCUGGGCAAGAGGUGUCAUGGACACAAAGGGUCUCUGCUUACCUGCCCCAGACAUGGCAGCACCAUGCCCUGCAGGAAGAGUCUGGGCUCCUGCCUGUGACAUGUACACCCAUCGGGGCUGGGUUCCUGGUGUGCCAGUGCCCAGACACCCAUCUGGUCGGUGGCACUUGCUGGUGAUCCCUGGCAUAUGUCCCACAUCCGUGCACGUAGCAGGACACCAGGACCAGCUCUUGGCACCCUCUGGCAAGGCUGAGAUCUGCAAGUGACAAGUUCCACCCCAGCUCUGACCUUGCCUGUACUGUGAGACACUGGGCAGCACCACAAGCCAGACCCCAGGAUUUUAAUGGCACUUAGCAAAUCUCACUUGCAUCUUGGUUCUAGCUGAGACCAAUCUUCAGUGCUUGAGAGGAUGGGAAAGAAAAACAACCCAACACCCACAAGUUAGAUGCUCCACCAGCAGGAUUUUUUUUCUUUCCCCCACAGAUAACCCUAGGAAUCUAGCAGGGGAAAAACAAAAAGUUCCUUCUGUUCCCAACUACAGCAGUCCACCAAAUCCCUCAGGACUCACAACAAAAGCCAUUUGCUCCCUUACAGAAUUUCUACUUAGUUGCACAAUCCUUCCACAAGCUUCUCAAACCACCUCUGCAACCACAAGGUGCUCCAGAAUUUUUGUC
This is a long non-coding RNA of Passer montanus (Eurasian tree sparrow), 7823 nucleotides long. RefSeq lists it as uncharacterized. The transcript is spliced from 7 exons. Lineage: Eukaryota; Metazoa; Chordata; Aves; Passeriformes; Passeridae. The record is from RefSeq and is a predicted model, not a curated record.